Molecule: non-coding RNA, 2011 nt
Organism: Loxodonta africana (African savanna elephant)
Lineage: Eukaryota; Metazoa; Chordata; Mammalia; Proboscidea; Elephantidae
Source: the annotation of a RefSeq genome assembly
ACAAGGAAGAGCAGACCUGUGGGUGUUGCAUCCCUAAGUGCUAAGAGCUCUGUUUGUGCAGUGUAUGUGGUUAACACAAAAUUAACAAGUACCCAGUAAAAAGACACAUACAUCUACAAGGAUUAAGACUUGCACCCUCAGCAUUGUGGAGUUGUGCGGUCUCUGUGUCUUCUAUCUUCUCCUUCUUAGGCUAAGCCAGUUACUGAGCUAUGAAUUAUUCAUCCUCUUGAAUAUGCAAACAAUCUGGGGUCUGUUGAGUUAAAUGGGGAUAUGUCUGUGUCCUCCACAGCAUCAGCCAAUAACCACAUCCUUCUCAUACAGAAGCACCUGAGAACACAGCUCCCUCAUCAUGGAUUGGAGCUGGACAGUCCUCUUCUUCGCGGCAGUAACUACAGGUGUCCACUCUGAGGUCCAGCUGGUGCAGUCGGGGGCCGAAGUGAGGAAGCCAGGAGCAUCCGUGAAGGUCUCCUGCAAGGCUUCUGGAUACACUUUCACCAGCAAAUAUAUGUACUGGGUGCGACAGGCCUCUGGGAAAGGGCUUGAGUGGAUUGCACGACAUGACCCAGAAGAUGGUAAAACAAUAUACUCACAGAAAUUCCAGGGCAGAGUCACCAUCACCAGCGACACAUCCACGAACACAGCCUACAUGGAGCUAAACAGUCUGAGCUCUGAGGAUACAGCUGUGUAUUACUGUGCAACCACACAGUGUGAUAACCACAUCCUGACUGUGUCAGAAACCCUGAAGAAGGACGCAGCAUCUGUCGGAAGGAGGCAGGAGAUUACAGGGAAAAUUUGGGUGACAAUUUCCCUAAAUGACUGAGAAACAGAAAAAAUAGAAAGAUGCAUUCACUAUAAUUAGGUGAGGAACAAUGGAACCCGACUGAACAUACCUAAAUACCAUGAAAAUUUCUACUGCGUGGAUUUCAAGAACGAGGCCCAAAGUUAACGAAACUAUAAAUUUUCCAUGCAACAAUUACCCUGUAAGUAAAAUCCAUAUUCAGAGGAGAGGUUCAAUUGUGUGAGAUUAAUUUCAAAGUCAGUUGGGUAAUUAUCAUGGGGGACAAUUUUUAGAUUACAUAGUAACCUUAUAUUUAACUUCCAAAAAAAUCACCCUACUAUCUUAAAAAGAAGCUGUAUCAUUUUACGUUACCACCAGCAAAGACUGAGAAUUCUUAGCAUUCCAAAUUCUUGUCAAAAUACUGUUGACAGUACUUUGGGUUUCAGUCAUUCUGAUAGGCUAUGAAUGCUAUCUCAUGGUUGUUGUACUGUAUUGUUCCCUAAUGAAUGAUCUCUUUGAAUAUCUUUUUCAGUGAGAUGUUGCUUAGAACAAAGGUCAAUUUUUUUUUAACUUUUUUGUUUUCUUCAGUUAAGUGUCCUUGUAUAUUCAUGAUACAAGUCAUUUACAAAAUAUAUGAUUUUCCAAUAUUUCUCCUGGUCUAUUUCUUGUCUUUUCAUUUCCUUAGCAAUGACUUUUGCAGAUUGAAAAAAAUAGUUUUGAUAUUGACCAUUUAUUAAUAUUUUAUCUUUUUUGGUCAUGUUUUUGAUGGUAAAUCUAAAACUCAUUUUCUGAUCCAAGGUCACUCAGAAUUUUUCCCAUGACUGUAAGCACAGAACAUACUAAAGGAAUGGGGAGUUCGAUUUCAUCGUUUGAUCCUGAGAGUACGUACAUGAGUCAUUUGGAAUUCUUCUGUAUGAGCUGUUCGUCUCCUCCUCCACAUUUAAAAAAAAAAAAAAUUUCAAUCAUUUGCUAAAAUCAGUAUGGACUCAUAGAUAUUGGUUUUAUUAUUUGUGACAUAAUCCAAUAUUCUGCUGUUCAUUUAGCGUUCGUAAAUUUCCAGCUUUUUUGAGCUAUUGAGAGCUCUUUUAGUUUGACUCUCAUUGUUUGCCAUACGUUUACUGAGUUAUUUAUUUCCAGUAUUCCUGUACAGUGGCUAAUCAGAGUCAUUGACCCAGGCACUCGUUGGAAAAUAAACAAAAUGAUCAACUAGAUAGCAGUGCUUACGUGAAGGUA